RNAcentral lists this ribosomal RNA (107 nucleotides) under uncultured bacterium. Its description in RNAcentral is "partial 16S ribosomal RNA". The record is from RNAcentral.
AAGGCCUUCGGGUCGCAAAGCACUUUUGUCCGGAAAGAAAACUUCUGCCCUAAUACGGUCCGGGAGGAUGACGGUACCGGAAGAAUAAGCACCGGCUAACUACGUGC